CCGGGUGCUUCAGGGUCCGAGAACCUGCAGAAGUUCACACUUAAAUCCUACACGAGAGUCGUAUUUAUGAUGCAGAACUCGAUGGAGAAACGGAGGCCCAGGGAAGGGAUGUGCCCGAGGUCAUACAAAGAAGUUUGUGGGAAUCCAGGUCUGACUCGCACUCAAUCUAGUGCUCUAAUAAUGACUUGAGUGAAUUGUAUGAAUGUGCUCAGAGGUGGAGCAGCAAUCAUAAAAGUAAUAAUGGUACCAUUUAUGGACCAUCUAACUACUGUGUUAAAACAAUUUACAGGCCAUGCGCGGUGGCUCACGCUUGUAAUCCCAGCACUUUGGGAGGCCGAGGCGGGCAGAUCACGAAGUCAGAAGAUCGAGACCAUCCUGGCUAACACGGGACUCAAGACUGGAAUGGGAAGAGCAUGAAAUUGAGCUGUCUAUCCCCCUGGAUCUCUCAUUGCCACCUGCCCAUAGGUUGGCUGCACCCCUCCACCAAAGAAAGGCCAUGACUCCUUCCUGGCAGCCCUGUCUUACAGCUACUCUCUGGUGAUCUGGGAACCACUCCCUCCCUUACCCCUUGAUGCCUAGGGCUAGUGCCAGCACCUUGUUGUUGUUAGCCUCAGAGGCACUUGCACUGUUCCUUGAUGGUUUUCCCAAAUCUUGCCCUCAUCUUUGUAAAUACUGUUUGCCGUUUAUUACACUGUCAUCAUAUUACCCAAUUUGAGUGUGUCAUCUAUUUCUUCCAAGACCCUGACUGAUACAGUGGGUAUAUUUGGAGCCAGAAAAAACAAUGACAACAAAACCAUUUGUUUGAGAAUUAGAAUGUGUUAGGAGAGUCCAUAAUCAGAACUGUCUGAGCACAUUUACUGCUGCCUAUGAACGGUUUAGAGGAUGAGGACAGCUGGCAUGGGAUUAAGGUAACCUUGUCCAGAAAGAUUUCAUUCAUUUAGAAAAAAUUUAUUGAAGGCCUACUAUCAUGCACCAAGCACUACUCUAGGUGCUGGGGGAAAAGGACAAAUAAAUCAUGUUCCUUUCCCUCAAGGAGCUCACAAUCUAGUAGCAGGGGACAGAUAUGUAAACAGUUAGUUGCAUAAAGCAUCACAGUGCUGUAGUAGAUGUCUGAGCUAGAGAUAAGAACUUUGGAA
Molecule: long non-coding RNA, 1136 nt
Filed under: Homo sapiens (human)
Lineage: Eukaryota; Metazoa; Chordata; Mammalia; Primates; Hominidae
Description: HSALNT0291839
Source: RNAcentral